UACAGAGGUCCCAAGCGUUGUUCGGAUUCAUUGGGCGUAAAGGGUGCGUAGGAGGGCAGGUAAGUCAGUGGUGAAAUCUCCAAGCUUAACUUGGAAACUGCCGUUGAUACUAUCUGUCUUGAAUAUUGUGGAGGUGAGCGGAAUAUGUCAUGUAGCGGUGAAAUGCUUAGAUAUGACAUAGAACACCAAUUGCGAAGGCAGCUCGCUACACAUAUAUUGACUCUGAGGCACGAAAGCGUGGGGAUCAAACAGG
RNAcentral lists this ribosomal RNA (253 nucleotides) under uncultured bacterium. RNAcentral's name for it is "partial 16S ribosomal RNA". It matches the Rfam family "Bacterial small subunit ribosomal RNA", at positions 524 to 776 of the family's 1533-position model. The record is from RNAcentral.